RNAcentral lists this ribosomal RNA (468 nucleotides) under uncultured bacterium. RNAcentral describes it as "partial 16S ribosomal RNA". It matches the Rfam family "Bacterial small subunit ribosomal RNA", at positions 28 to 507 of the family's 1533-position model. The record is from RNAcentral.
GACGAACGCUGGCGGCGUGCUUAACACAUGCAAGUCGAACGGAAAGGCCCUGCUUUUGCGGGGUGCUCGAUUGGCGAACGCGUGAGUAACACGUGAGUAACCUGCCCUUGACUUUGUGAUAACUUCAGGAAACUCGGGCUAUUACCGGAUAUGAUCUCCUGCUGCAUGUUGUGGGUUGGAAAGAUUCGGCGGUUCUGGCUGGACUCGCGGCUUAUCAGCUUGUUGGUGGGGUAGUUGCUUACCAAGGCUUUGACGGGUAGCCGGCCUGAGAGGGUGACCGGCGACCUGGGGACUGAGAUACGGCCCAGAAUCGUACGGGAGGCAGCAGGGGGAAAUAUUGCAGAAUGGGCGGAAGCCUGAUGCAGCAACGCCGCGUGCGGGAUGACGGCCUUCGGGUUGUAAACAGCUUUCGAAUGUGACGAAGAGUGCGUGACGGUAAUGAGUCAGGAAGCACCGGCUAACUACGUG